Mustela lutreola (European mink) is the source of this 1236-nucleotide long non-coding RNA. RefSeq lists it as uncharacterized. NCBI's taxonomy places the organism in Eukaryota, Metazoa, Chordata, Mammalia, Carnivora, Mustelidae. The transcript has 2 exons. The record is from RefSeq and is a predicted model, not a curated record.
CCAGAAGUCUCUGCGGCCUCAGGAGGAAAACGGGCACUUCCAUCUCAAAAUCGCUCCGUCAGCACUCACGCUAAUGAUGUACUGAUUUCCUGGACUUAUCCGGAUGCCGGUGAUGUUGCCGCUGUGUCCCACCCCAACAGAGAAGGAGACUGUGCCAGUGAGCCCGGAUUGUGACAGAAAGCUCUUUGGGUGAGACGAAGCGCUCGGGAGUCUGAGGCAAGCUGUAAACGAAGGAGGAAACAGCCACAGCGUCCACGUUCCCGGUUCAGCUCUCAGGGGAGGGCCUGGUGGAAGGGAAGUGUCCCCCGUCCAGCUGCUGGGGGAGUGACCGGCCCAGAGAGUUCUGCAGGAUCUGGUCCCUACCGCUGACUGCGAGCUCUUCCCCACCGCGCACUAUUUCCAAGGUUCUGUUCUGCCUUAAAGCAGUGAAACCACCCCCACCACCCCCCGCCAGCGUGAGGUCUAGAGGCAAAUUGAUAAUAUGGCCCCUCCUAGGUUAGGGAUGGGGAGCGGCGGGGGUGGGGGGGGUAGAGUGGGGGUUGCUAGAGGGAGGGAGAUUUUUCUCUCAAUAUACUGCUUUUAUACUUCUUGAACUUUGAACCGUGUAAAUGAACAACCUAUUCAAAAAAUGUUCUUUUCUUUUUUCCCCCCCCCCAGAUUUUAUUUACUUAUUUGACAGAGAGAGAGCACAAGCAGAGGGAUGGGGAGGCAGAGGGAGAGAGAGCAGCACCCGUGGGGCUCGCUCGAUCCCAGGACCCUGAGAUCAUGAGCGGAGCUGAAGGGAGACGCUUAACCAACUGAGCCACCCAGGCACUCGGAGAAGAUCUCUUUCCAAGCAAAGCACUUGACCAGGACUCACGAGUGUGAGCUUGGGCAGGCAUUUCAUAUCUCAUGGUGUUAGACAUGUGCUGUUCAGGUCAUUAUGUCGGGAAACCAUAUUCCUCUGAAUCGAGCUAGAAAUGCUGUUUUAAAAACAAUUUUUUUCUUUUAGCUAAUUUAUUAAUUUCCAGUGAUGCUUGAUCACUUUAACAAAGAGUUGUUUUCGGGAUGCCUGGAUGGCUCAGUUGAUUAAGCAGCUGCCUUCGGCUCAGGUCAUGAUCCCAGCAUCCUGGGAUCGAGUCCCACAUCGGACUCCUUGCUCAGCAGGGAGCCCGCUUCUCCCUCUACCUCUGCCUGCCAUUCUGUCUGCCUGUGCUCACUCUCUCUGACAAAUAAAAAAAUAAAAAUAAAAAUAAA